UGGGGAAUAUUGGGCAAUGGGCGCAAGCCUGACCCAGCGACGCCGCGUGGGUGAUGAAGGCCUUCGGGUUGUAAAGCCCUGUCAUGUGGAAAGAACAGUCCCGUGGUGAAUAUCCACGGGAUUUGACGGUACCACAGGAGGAAGCACCGGCUAACUCCGUGCCAGCAGCCGCGGUAAUACGGAGGGUGCAAGCGUUGUUCGGAAUUAUUGGGCGUAAAGGGCGCGUAGGCGGUUGUGAAAGUCAGAUGUGAAAUACUUCGGCUCAACUGAAGAACUGCAUCUGAAACUUCAUAACUCGAGUACAGGAGAGGGAAACGGAAUUCCCGGUGUAGAGGUGAAAUUCGUAGAUAUCGGGAGGAACACCAGUGGCGAAGGCGGUUUCCUGGCCUGAUACUGACGCUGAGGCGCGAAAGCGUGGGGAGCAAACAG
Molecule: ribosomal RNA, 429 nt
Filed under: uncultured bacterium
Lineage: Bacteria
Description: bacterial SSU rRNA
Rfam family: Bacterial small subunit ribosomal RNA
Source: RNAcentral